GACGAACGCUGGCGGCGUGCUUAACACAUGCAAGUCGAACGGAAAGGCCCUGCUUUUGUGGGGUGCUCGAGUGGCGAACGGGUGAGUAACACGUGAGUAACCUGCCCUUGACUUUGGGAUAACUUCAGGAAACUGGGGCUAAUACCGGAUAGGAGCUCCUGCUGCAUGGUGGGGGUUGGAAAGUUUCGGCGGUUGGGGAUGGACUCGCGGCUUAUCAGCUUGUUGGUGGGGUAGUGGCUUACCAAGGCUUUGCCGGGUAGCCGGCCUGAGAGGGUGACCGGCCACAUGGGGACUGAGAUACGGCCCAGACUCCUACGGGAGGCAGCAGUGGGGAAUAUUGCACAUUGGGCGGAAGCCUGAUGCAGCAACGCCGCGUGCGGGAUGACGGCCUUCGGGUUGUAAACCGCUUUCGCCUGUGACGAAGCGUGAGUGACGGGAAUGGGUAAAGAAGCACCGGCUAACUACGU
Molecule: ribosomal RNA, 467 nt
Filed under: uncultured bacterium
Lineage: Bacteria
Description: partial 16S ribosomal RNA
Rfam family: Bacterial small subunit ribosomal RNA
Source: RNAcentral